CCUACGGGGGGCAGCAGUGGGGAAUAUUGCACAAUGGGGGAAACCCUGAUGCAGCGACGCCGCGUGAGUGAAGAAGUAAUUCGUUACGUAAAGCUCUAUCAGCAGGGAAGAAAUACUGACCUUACGGUCAGCAGACGGUACCUGAGUAAGAAGCCACGGCUAACUACGUGCCAGCAGCCGCGGUAAUACGUAGGGGGCAAGCGUUAUCCGGAUUUACUGGGUGUAAAGGGAGCGUAGACGGUGCGCCAAGUCUGGAGUGAAAUGCCGCGGCUUAACUGCGGAACUGCUUUGGAAACUGGCGAACUAGAGUGCGGUAGGGGUAAGCGGAAUUCCUAGUGUAGCGGUGAAAUGCGUAGAUAUUAGGAGGAACACCGGUGGCGAAGGCGGCUUACUGGACCGUAACUGACGUUGAGGCUCGAAAGCGUGGGGAGCAAACAGGAUUAGAUACCCUAGUAGUC
This 458-nucleotide ribosomal RNA is filed under the name uncultured bacterium. RNAcentral describes it as "partial 16S ribosomal RNA". It matches the Rfam family "Bacterial small subunit ribosomal RNA", at positions 338 to 795 of the family's 1533-position model. The record is from RNAcentral.